RNAcentral lists this ribosomal RNA (468 nucleotides) under uncultured bacterium. RNAcentral describes it as "partial 16S ribosomal RNA". It matches the Rfam family "Bacterial small subunit ribosomal RNA", at positions 28 to 507 of the family's 1533-position model. The record is from RNAcentral.
GACGAACGCUGGCGGCGUGCUUAACACAUGCAAGUCGAACGGAAAGGCCCUGCUUUUGUGGGGUGCUCGAGUGGCGAACGGGUGAGUAACACGUGAGUAACCUGCCCUUGACUUUGGGAUAACUUCAUGAAACUUGGUCUAAUACCGGAUAGGAGCUCCUGCUUCAUGGUGGGGGUUGGAAAGUUUCGGCGGUUGGGGAUGGACUCGCGGCUUAUCAGCUUGUUGGUUGGGUAGUGGCUUACCAAGGCUUUGACGGGUAGCCGGCCUGAGAGGGUGACCGGCCAAAUUGGGACUGAGAUAAGGCACAGACUACUACGGGAGGCAGCAGAGGAGAAGAUUGCACAAGGGGCGGAAGCAUGAUGCAGCAAAGCCGCGUGCGGGAUGACGGCCUUCGGGUUGUAAACCGAUUUCGCCUGUGACGAAGCGUGAGUGACGGUAAUGGGUAAAGAAGCACCGGCUAACUACGUG